UACGGAGGGUGCAAACGUUGCUCGGAAUCAUUGGGCGUAAAGCGCACGUAGGCGGUCCGGCAAGUCGGGUGUGAAAGCCCUCGGCUUAACCGAGGAAGUGCAUUCGAAACUACCGGACUUGAAUACUGGAGAGGGUUGCGGAAUUCCCGGUGUAGAGGUGAAAUUCGUAGAUAUCGGGAGGAACACCAGUGGCGAAGGCGGCAACCUGGACAGAUAUUGACGCUGAGGCGCGAAAGCUAGGGGAGCAAACAGG
RNAcentral lists this ribosomal RNA (253 nucleotides) under uncultured bacterium. RNAcentral's name for it is "partial 16S ribosomal RNA". It matches the Rfam family "Bacterial small subunit ribosomal RNA", at positions 524 to 776 of the family's 1533-position model. The record is from RNAcentral.